Long non-coding RNA from Panicum virgatum (switchgrass), 671 nucleotides. RefSeq lists it as uncharacterized. Lineage: Eukaryota; Viridiplantae; Streptophyta; Magnoliopsida; Poales; Poaceae. The transcript has 2 exons. The record is from RefSeq and is a predicted model, not a curated record.
GCUAGCAGCAGAACCUAACUCACCCCUAAUCCGUUUUCAUCAAGAGGAGGUGCAGUUUUGCGACCGGAGUGGAUGGAAGGCAGCAUCACUUCAGGGCAACAACACUCCAUUGCGACUGCACAAUCCAUAAAGAAAUACUUGUACAAUGCUGUAUUUGAUGAGCGCACUGUGAUACUCUCUGACCAGUUCAUCAGCAAGAUUGUUUCAGCAGAGGCCGGGACUAUGACUUUUUCUAAAAAAGAUCAUCAGGAUGUUUCAUGAUUUUAUUAACUGGGAGCGCACUUCUCUAUGGUCCAUUUCUUCUUCAGUGGUCUCAGCCGCCUUCUGAUGCUGGAUGUCUUGCGUUAUCUCGUCUGAAUUUCUGGAGAUGCUAACAAUAUGAGACCAAUUUAGCAGAAAUUUUGAUUUACCAUUUCAAAACAACCCAGAUGUUGCUGAAGUGAGGCUUAUUAUCAGUUCGCUGGCGAGUUGUUGGAUCCGCUCAUCUGUCACAACUCUGCUUUCUUUGGUUAAAGAACCACAAGUGGAAGAAUUGUACUGCAUCCAUUGUACAUGUAGAUCCGCUCAUCUGUCAUGAUUUUGUUACUUAAAUGCUGUAUUUCGAUCCCUAUAUGUUUGUAACUGGAGUAUGUACGGUGUUUGACAUGAAGUUUUUAACCUUCUCGCAUGAA